RNAcentral lists this long non-coding RNA (877 nucleotides) under Olea europaea subsp. europaea. The record is from RNAcentral. Lineage: Eukaryota; Viridiplantae; Streptophyta; Magnoliopsida; Lamiales; Oleaceae.
AUUAUGUUGUUAUAAAAUAGGAAAGUUUUGGAUUUACGUACAAAAGAAGUUUUGAGUUUACGUUCAAAAUUAUUUUAUUAGGAGAAUGUGGUUGAAAAUGAGUUUGGGGUGAUGAGUGUAAUUCACUCAUUAAACUAAAGCUUCCAAAUCACGUUUUUUGAUGUGUUCUUGGGCAUUUUGAACGUUUUGAUGUGUGUGUUCGUCUUAUUUUGCAGUUUGGACAACUCUCGAGAAAAUACCACUAUUGAGAGCCUAUGAUGAGCAAAAAUGAUGAUCAAUAAAAUGGAGCAUGAAUAAGCAAGUAAUGAAUAAGAUUGGAGUGGAAAAUAAGCUUGGAAAAUAAAGAGAAGAGAAGCAAAGCAUUGGCAUUGGCGCCACGGCACCGAAAAAGGGGCGCCAUGAGAGAUGAAAUUCCAGCAGAAACUUGGGCGCCACGGCGCCAGACCUGGACGCCAUGGCGCCUGUUAACAUGAGAAUCAUGGCGCCAUGGCGCCAUGCUUGGGCUCCGUGGCGCCAAAUCCCAAAACGUUAAAACCCGAAUUUUUAAUUAUCUUUUCGGCCCAAAAAUCAUACCCUAACCCUUGAAGACUCUUAGAAAAUAUAAAUACCAAGAUGAAGAACAAGAGAAGGGGGUUAGACGGCUGAAGAGGCAAGAAAAAGAGAGGCACCAAUUGAGAGAAGAUCGACCCGAUUUUGAAGAAGAAAAAGGGAGAAACUGAGAAAUCGAGCAACAAGAUUGAGAAAUAGAGCAGCAACCUGAGUUUUUUCUUAUCUUUCUCUUCUCCAUGCGAUUUAAUUUGUAUUUUAUCAUGCUUUUUUUCUCAAUCAUGAACUAAGUUAUUAAAUCUAGGGUUUGAUGUAACCUAUUUGAGAUAUG